UAAAAAUUUCGGGAGACGGAUAGAAGGGAGCUUGCUCCUGGAUUACAGCGGCGGACGGGUGAGUAAUGCCAAGGAAUCUGCCUGGUAGUGGGGGAUAACGUCCGGAAACGGGCGCUAAUACCGCAACGUCCUGAGGGAGAAAGUGGGGGAUCUUCGGACCUCACGCUAUCAGAUGAGCCUAGGUCGGAUUAGCUAGUUGGUGGGGUAAAGGCCUACCAAGGCGACGAUCCGUAACUGGUCUGAGAGGAUGAUCAGUCACACUGGAACUGAGACACGGUCCAGACUCCUACGGGAGGCAGCAGUGGGGAAUAUUGGACAAUGGGCGAAAGCCUGAUCCAGCCAUGCCGCGUGUGUGAAGAAGGUCUUCGGAUUGUAAAGCACUUUAAGUUGGGAGGAAGGGCAGUAAGUUAAUACCUUGCUGUUUUGACGUUACCAACAGAAUAAGCACCGGCUAACUUCGUGCCAGCAGCCGCGGUAAUACGAAGGGUGCAAGCGUUAAUCGGAAUUACUGGGCGUAAAGCGCGCGUAGGUGGUUCAGCAAGUUGGAUGUGAAAUCCCCGGGCUCAACCUGGGAACUGCAUCCAAAACUACUGAGCUAGAGUACGGUAGAGGGUGGUGGAAUUUCCUGUGUAGCGGUGAAAUGCGUAGAUAUAGGAAGGAACACCAGUGGCGAAGGCGACCACCUGGACUGAUACUGACACUGAGGUGCGAAAGCGUGGGGAGCAAACAGGAGUAGAUACCCUGGUAGUCCACGCCGUAACGAUGUCGACUAGCCUUUGGGAUCCUUGAGAUCUUAGUGGCGCACUACGCGAUAAGUCGACCGCCUGGGGAGUACGGCCGCAGGUUAAAACUCAAAUGAAUUGACGGGGCCCGCACAAGCGUGGAGCAGUGGUUUACUUCGAAGCAACGCGAAGAACCUUACCUGGCCUUGACAUGCUGAGAACUUUCCAGAGAUGGAUUGGUGCCCUUCCGGGAACUCAGACACAGAUACUGCAUGGCU
RNAcentral lists this ribosomal RNA (1000 nucleotides) under Pseudomonas aeruginosa. Its description in RNAcentral is "bacterial SSU rRNA". It matches the Rfam family "Bacterial small subunit ribosomal RNA", at positions 49 to 1050 of the family's 1533-position model. The record is from RNAcentral. Lineage: Bacteria; Pseudomonadati; Pseudomonadota; Gammaproteobacteria; Pseudomonadales; Pseudomonadaceae.